Molecule: ribosomal RNA, 389 nt
Filed under: Albinaria hippolyti
Lineage: Eukaryota; Metazoa; Mollusca; Gastropoda; Stylommatophora; Clausiliidae
Description: partial 16S ribosomal RNA
Rfam family: Bacterial large subunit ribosomal RNA
Source: RNAcentral
UUAUCUGCCCAGUGAUACUUUUAAAUGGCCGCAGUACCCUGACUGUGCUAAGGUAGCAUAAUCACUUGACUUUUAAAUGGAGCCUAGAAUGAAAGAAAGAACGUAGAAAACUUGUCUCGCAUACAUUAUUUUAAACUUGAUGUAUGAGUGAAAAUACUCAUAAACACAAAAAUAGACGAGAAGACCCUUAGAAUUUUAAAAAUAUUAUAUGUAAACAUCUUAUAAGUUUUUUUGUUGGGGCAACAAUAUUUCAUAAAAUAAAUAUAUUUUUGAAUAAUAUGCCGAUUAGAUAGUUAUAUAAAAAUUACCUAAGGGAUAACAGCAUAAUUUAUAUAUUAAGUUUGUGACCUCGAUGUUGGACUAGGUACUAUUAAGGCUAAUCGUUUUAA